CCCUAGUAACUGCGAGUGAAGCGGGAAAAGCUCAAAUUUAAAAUCUGGCGGUCUUUGGCCGUCCGAGUUGUAGUCUGGAGAAGUGCUUUCCGCGCUGGACCGUGUACAAGUCUCUUGGAACAGAGCGUCAUAGAGGGUGAGAAUCCCGUCUUUGACACGGACUACCAGUGCUUUGUGAUGCGCUCUCAAAGAGUCGAGUUGUUUGGGAAUGCAGCUCAAAAUGGGUGGUGAAUUCCAUCUAAAGCUAAAUAUUGGCGAGAGACCGAUAGCGAACAAGUACCGUGAGGGAAAGAUGAAAAGCACUUUGGAAAGAGAGUUAAACAGUACGUGAAAUUGCUGAAAGGGAAACGCUUGAAGUCAGUCGCGUCGACCGGAACUCAGCCUUGCUUCGGCUUGGUGCAUUUUCCGGCUGACGGGCCAGCAUCGAUUUUGACCGUUGGAAAAGGGCUGGAGGAAUGUGGCACCUUCGGGUGUGUUAUAGCCUUCAGUCGCAUACAACGGUUGGGAUCGAGGAACGCAGCGCGCCUUAUGGCUGGGGUUCGCCCACAUUCGCGCUUAGGAUGCUGGCAUAAUGGCUUUAAACGACCCGUCUUGAAACACGGACCAAGGAGUCUAACAUACCUGCGAGUGUUUGGGUGGAAAACCCGAGCGCGUAAUGAAAGUGAAAGUUGAGACCUCUGUCGUGGAGGGCAUCGACGCCCGGACCUGACGUUCUCUGACGGAUCCGCGGUAGAGCAUGUAUGUUGGGACCCGAAAGAUGGUGAACUAUGCCUGAAUAGGGUGAAGCCAGAGGAAACUCUGGUGGAGGCUCGUAGCGAUUCUGACGUGCAAAUCGAUCGUCAAAUUUGGGUAUAGGGGCGAAAG
Molecule: ribosomal RNA, 864 nt
Filed under: Trametes palisotii
Lineage: Eukaryota; Fungi; Basidiomycota; Agaricomycetes; Polyporales; Polyporaceae
Description: partial large subunit ribosomal RNA
Rfam family: Eukaryotic large subunit ribosomal RNA
Source: RNAcentral